This 465-nucleotide ribosomal RNA is filed under the name uncultured bacterium. Its description in RNAcentral is "bacterial SSU rRNA". It matches the Rfam family "Bacterial small subunit ribosomal RNA", at positions 338 to 795 of the family's 1533-position model. The record is from RNAcentral.
CCUACGGGUUGCAGCAGUGGGGAAUAUUGCACAAUGGGCGCAAGCCUGAUGCAGCCAUGCCGCGUAUAUGAAGAAGGCCUUCGGGUUGUAAAGUACUUUCAGCGAGGAGGAAGGCGAUAAGGUUAAUAACCUUGUCGAUUGACGUUACUCGCAGAAGAAGCACCAGCUAACUCCGUGCCAGCAGCCGCGGUAAUACGGAGGGUGCAAGCGUUAAUCGGAAUUACUGGGCGUAAAGCGCACGCAGGCGGUCUGUCAAGUCGGAUGUGAAAUCCCCGGGCUCAACCUGGGAACUGCAUUCGAAACUGGCAGGCUAGAGUCUUGUAGAGGGGGGUAGAACUCCAGGUGUAGCGGUGAAAUGCGUAGAGAUCUGGAGGAAUACCGGUGGCGAAGGCGGCCCCCUGGACAAAGACUGACGCUCAGGUGCGAAAGCGUGGGGAGCAAACAGGAUUAGAUACCCGUGUAGUC